AGUGAACGCUGGCGGUAGGCCUAACACAUGCAAGUCGAACGGCAGCACAGUAAGAGCUUGCUCUUACGGGUGGCGAGUGGCGGACGGGUGAGGAAUACAUCGGAAUCUACUUUUUCGUGGGGGAUAACGUAGGGAAACUUACGCUAAUACCGCAUACGACCUACGGGUGAAAGCAGGGGAUCUUCGGACCUUGCGCGAUUGAAUGAGCCGAUGUCGGAUUAGCUAGUUGGCGGGGUAAAGGCCAACCAAGGCGCGGAUCCGUAGCUGGUCUGAGUGGAUGAUCAGCCGCACUGGAACUUGGACACGGUCCAGACUACUAAGGGAGGCAGCAGUGGGGAAUAGUGGACAAUGGGCGCAAGCCUGAUCCAGCCAGACCGCGUGGGUGAAGGAGGCCUUCGGGUUGUAAAGCCCUUUUGUUGGGAAAGAAAAGCAGCAGGUUAAUACCCCGCUGUUCUGACGGUACCCAAAGAAUAAGCACCGGCUAACUUCGUG
This 492-nucleotide ribosomal RNA is filed under the name uncultured bacterium. RNAcentral describes it as "partial 16S ribosomal RNA". It matches the Rfam family "Bacterial small subunit ribosomal RNA", at positions 29 to 507 of the family's 1533-position model. The record is from RNAcentral.